AAUUCUCAAAAUCCUUUUCUUUGAUCGGAAUAGGACUUUUGGACUUGGAGGUUCAAUGCUCGCUUUCGCCUUUGAAAGCGAGCUCCUCUCAAAUGAAUCAGUGGGGUCCGCUUUGCUGGUCCUUGACGUGAUAAGAUGCUUCUACGUUUUGGAUUUGGCAUUGUUUUCUCCGCUCCUAACUGUCCCCAUGGGACAACGAUGGUGCUUCGGUCGUCGCCAUCUAUGGCGGGAGGCUGAACCCACAAAGAA
This 249-nucleotide unclassified non-coding RNA is filed under the name uncultured Russula. RNAcentral's name for it is "sequence contains ITS2". Lineage: Eukaryota; Fungi; Basidiomycota; Agaricomycetes; Russulales; Russulaceae. The record is from RNAcentral.